Molecule: ribosomal RNA, 393 nt
Filed under: uncultured bacterium
Lineage: Bacteria
Description: partial 16S ribosomal RNA
Rfam family: Bacterial small subunit ribosomal RNA
Source: RNAcentral
AUACGGAGGAUGCGAGCGUUAUCCGGCUUUAUUGGGUUUAAAGGGAGCGUAGGUGGGAUAUUAAGUCAGCUGUGAAAGUUUGGGGCUCAACCUUAAAAUUGCAGUUGAUACUGGUUUCCUUGAGUACGGUACAGGUGGGCGGAAUUCGUGGUGUAGCGGUGCAAUGCUUAGAUAUCACGAAGAACUCCGAUCGCGAAGGCAGCUCACCGGGCCGGAACUGACACUGAUGCUCGAAAGUGCGGGUAUCAAACAGGAUUAGAUACCCUGGUAGUCCGCACAGUAAACGAUGAAUACUCGCUGUUUGCGAUACACUGUAAGCGGCCAAGCGAAAGCGUUAAGUAUUCCACCUGGGGAGUACGCCGGCAACGGUGAAACUUAAAGGAAUUGACGGGG